AACGAACGCUGGCGGCAUGCCUAACACAUGCAAGUCGAACGAUUGCCUUCGGGUGAUAGUGGCGCACGGGUGCGUAACGCGUGGGAAUCUGCCCUUAGGUUCGGAAUAACAGCUGGAAACGGCUGCUAAUACCGGAUGAUAUCGCGAGAUCAAAGAUUUAUCGCCUGAGGAUGAGCCCGCGUUGGAUUAGGUAGUUGGUGGGGUAAAGGCCUACCAAGCCGACGAUCCAUAGCUGGUCUGAGAGGAUGAUCAGCCACACUGGGACUGGGACACGGCCCAGAAUCCUACGGGAGGCAGCAGUGGGGAAUAUUGGCCAAUGGGCGCAAGCCUGAUCCAGCAAUGCCGCGUGAGUGAUGAAGGCCCGAGGGUUGUAAAGCUCUUUUACCCGGGAAGAUAAUGACGGUACCGGGAGAAUAAGCCCCGGCUAACUCCGUG
Molecule: ribosomal RNA, 435 nt
Filed under: uncultured bacterium
Lineage: Bacteria
Description: partial 16S ribosomal RNA
Rfam family: Bacterial small subunit ribosomal RNA
Source: RNAcentral